RNAcentral lists this unclassified non-coding RNA (250 nucleotides) under plant metagenome. RNAcentral describes it as "partial contains small subunit ribosomal RNA, internal transcribed spacer 1, and 5.8S ribosomal RNA". The stretch from base 168 to 250 matches the Rfam family "5.8S ribosomal RNA", at positions 1 to 55 of the family's 154-position model. The record is from RNAcentral.
GUAGGUGAACCUGCGGAAGGAUCAUUGCGAGAGGUAAUGGUCUCCAGGGGGCUAAGCCGCCUGGGGGAUAUUUGGUCGUCCGGAGUGACACGUGACAUUAAGCGGGUCACUUCAGACAAUACCAACGCGUAUUGGUGUGUCAGUUGAUUGUAUAAGAAAAGAUGGAAAACUUUUAACAAAGGAUCUCUUGGCUCUUGCAUCGAUGAAGAACGCAGCAUCUGACUGACUGAACUGUAUCUCAUCUCGUAUG